AUUUAUUUAUUUAUUUAUUAUUUUUUUAAUGGACAUGGCCAUGUACUGUAACCUAUGUGCCUUUAGUGUUUAUUACUGCACUGUCUAACAACUAACAUGAUUAACAGUGAUGGUCUAUGAUGGGUCGAGGGAGGCGUCUGGCCCUUGGCAUCUUUGUCCUGCUGGUGGUCGACGUCAUUUGGGUGGCUUCAUCAGAAUUGUCGGAGUAUAUCUUCAAUGAUACCGGCUUCAAUAAACCUUUUUUCAGUACAUACUUAAAGACCAGUAUGUUUUCACUAUAUUUGCUGGGAUUUAUAUUUUGGAGCCCCUGGAGACACCAAUGUGCCCAAAGAAACCACAAUGAGAGUAUUUACCAGGUAAGUUAUUUAUUGCAAUUCAUAUUAGAUUAUUUUUUUGAUAUUUUUUAUAUGUGAUAUGGAAAUAAAUUUAUUUUAGGGUAAUUGUGUUGCUCUUUUUUCUGUGUUAACUAGACUUGAGUCAUGCUAUACAUACUGUAGAAUAUUUACUGAUUACAAAAGGCAUUGGUUAUUCCUUUUAUUUCCAAGGCCUCCAGACCACCAUUUUAUUUCAUAACUUUGCCUUCUCUUUCCCCCUUAUCCCCUUCACUUCCUCUUGUGCUGAAUAGAAUCAUCUGGCAUUAGCCAAAUGAAAUAUUUAAGAGACAAUGAAGGGGUUAAUACAGUAAAACCUUUAUCGUUUAUCAAUCAAUACUUUACAAAUUGGCUAGUUCAUACAUGCAGUUCAAUGUGUGUUAUGUUCACCAAAAAUUAAAUAUUUUACACUUCCAUCAAUAUUGCAAAAUAUAAAAUUAAAAAUAUAAGAAAAUGUGUUCAACAAAAAACAAUAGCAAAGCAAGUAGUGAUGUACAGUAUGUUCAUUGUACAGCCCAUUCUUCCUGCAUCACCUGAAGAGGCACUGGGAGGGAGUGUAUAUUAAUAUGAAGUGAAAAAUGUAUUGUCAAAGCACUUGGUCAGUAAUGUGUCCAAAUUUAAGCUUUCUAGCUCAAAAAUUUCCAUAAAUAACAUCCAGACAACAUUAAGUGUUGAGUUGAGUAUGCUUCUAAUAUUCUCUUGCUAUUACAGGAAGUGGAUUCAAUGGAGGAUGAAGAUUUACCGCUGUCAGAUGUUUGACGAGAGACAGGCGCACCCCUCCACCUGUGCCCAUCUUCACUUUGGACCAGCUGGCAUCUAGUGUUGCGAGAGACAGUGAUGCGAAUGCUCAACUGACACAUUUGGUCCUGUGGCACUAUUUACCCAUUCAACAAGCUAGAACGAUUUAUAACAACAAUGAUGAAAAGAGUGAACCAAAGUAUGUUCCUCUGAAACUACAAGAAUUGCAAGAAAAAAGUUCUGAUGGAGAAUCUGAUGACUCUUCAGUAAAGUCCGUCCGCUUCAGCAAAUUGACAGAGGUUCGGCAAAUGUCAGAAAACGAGGCAGUUGAUGCCAUGAUGUCUCGCCUGUCUUUUUCUGCCUCUGUCCGUGCUGAACAACUGGCUAUGCAGGCAGCAAAUAAAUUAUCUGUUAAGGAAGUUAUGAAAAUAUCUAGUAUAUUUUGUUUAUUGGUAAGUAUAGAUGUUGAUUUUAUCUCGGAUAUUCACUUGGCUUUUUAUAUUAAAUCUCCUUCAUUCUGUGUGUGUGUGUGAAAGUGAGAGAUAUUAAUUAUUAUUAAAUCCUUGCCAAGUUGCUCUCACAAUAUUGGGAGUCAAGUAAACCCCCCAUAACUCAGCACAUAUGGGACCGAGGCCUUGCCAAUUAAUCAGAAUUUGCCGGCAAGUAUUAUUUCACAGUCACAGUAAAUAAUUGUGCUGACAAGCAAAAGAUUACACUUUAUACAUGACACUUAACACUAUCUGUACGGUAACGCUUCAUGGGCGCUUAAUCACUGUCAGAAGGUCUACCAGUGACA
Molecule: unclassified non-coding RNA, 1905 nt
Filed under: Homarus americanus (American lobster)
Lineage: Eukaryota; Metazoa; Arthropoda; Malacostraca; Decapoda; Nephropidae
Description: uncharacterized LOC121866991, transcript variant X6
Source: RNAcentral